AAGCGCGUGUCAGCAAAGGGAAGCGAUACAAAACCGGCCUUCUAAGCCGAUGGUCACAGGUUCGAAUCCUGUCGGGAUCGCCA
RNAcentral lists this transfer RNA (83 nucleotides) under Mesorhizobium amorphae CCBAU 01583. RNAcentral describes it as "tRNA-Arg". Lineage: Bacteria; Pseudomonadati; Pseudomonadota; Alphaproteobacteria; Hyphomicrobiales; Phyllobacteriaceae. The record is from RNAcentral.